GACGAACGCUGGCGGCGUGCUUAACACAUGCAAGUCGAACGGGUCUGCCCUGUUUUUUGCGGGGUGGGUCAGUGGCGAACGGGUGAGUAACACGUGAGUAACCUGCCCCUCACUUCUGGAUAACCGCUUGAAAGGGUGGCUAAUACGGGGUGUUCUGGCUGUGCCGCAUGGUGUGGCUGGGAAAGAUUCACUUUUGUGGUGUUUUGGUGGGGGAUGGGCUCGCGGCCUAUCGGCUUGUUGGUGGGGUGAUGGCCUGCCAAGGCUUUGACGGGUAGCCGGCCUGAGAGGGUGGGCGGUCACACGGGGACUGGGAUACGGCCCAGACUCCUGCGGGAGGCAGCAGUGGGGGGUAUUGCACAAUGGGCGGAAGCCUGAUGCAGCGACGUCGCGUGAGGGAUGGAGGCCUUCGGGUUGUGAACCUCUUUCGCCGGUGAAGAAGGUCCUGCUCUUUGUGGUGGGGUUGACGGUAGCCGGGUUAUGAAGCGCCGGCUAACUACGUG
This 500-nucleotide ribosomal RNA is filed under the name uncultured bacterium. Its description in RNAcentral is "partial 16S ribosomal RNA". It matches the Rfam family "Bacterial small subunit ribosomal RNA", at positions 28 to 507 of the family's 1533-position model. The record is from RNAcentral.